Molecule: ribosomal RNA, 1086 nt
Filed under: Triticum aestivum (bread wheat)
Lineage: Eukaryota; Viridiplantae; Streptophyta; Magnoliopsida; Poales; Poaceae
Description: partial small subunit ribosomal RNA
Source: RNAcentral
AUGGAGAGAAAUGGCGGGAAGCAGCAGCAGCAGCAGCAGCUGGAGACGGCGGCGCCGGCGCCGGCGCCGAGGAAGGGUGCGUGGCGGGACGGCGCCGUCACCUACUUCCACCUCCUCUUCUACAUCGCCAUCUCCGGCGGCCAGAUCUUCUUCAACAAGUGGGUGCUAUCCUCAAAAGAGAUCAACUUCCCCUAUCCAGUGGCACUAACUUUGCUGCAUAUGCUCUUCUCAUCUGUAGUAUGCUUUGCAGCUACAAAGAUUUUCAAGGUCAUAAAGAUUGAUGAAGGAAUGACUACAGAUGUAUAUGUGAGUUCAGUCAUUCCAAUUGGAGCAAUGUUUGCAAUGACACUUUGGCUAGGGAACAGUGCAUACCUCUACAUAUCUGUUGCAUUUGCACAGAUGUUGAAGGCAAUAAUGCCUGUAGCCGUGUUUCUCCUUGGAACAGCAUUUGGCCUUGAAGAAAUGAACUGUAAAAUGCUUGCUAUCAUGUCUAUCAUCAGCGUGGGAGUUAUUGUGGCCUCUGUUGGUGAAAUUACAAUCAGCUGGGUCGGAGUGGUGUAUCAGAUGGGUGGAGUUGUAGCGGAGGCCCUUAGACUUAUCUUUAUCGAGAUAUUUUUGAAGAAGAAGGGUGUUAGACUGAACUUGAUAUCCAUGAUGUACUAUGUUAGCCCUUGCAGUGCCUUUUGCCUGUUCAUUCCCUGGUUGUUCUUAGAGAAGCCAAAGAUGGAUGCAAGUAUUUCAUGGAACUUCCCACCAGUUACAUUGUUCUUAAACUGCAUGUGCACAUUCGUACUUAAUCUGUCAGUUUUCCUUGUCAUUUCCCGGACAAGUGCACUGACAGCUCGUGUUACUGGAGUUGUGAGAGAUUGGAGUGUGGUGCUGCUGUCAGCUGCUAUUUUUGCUGAUACAAAGCUUACCUUCAUAAACAUAGUUGGCUAUGCCAUAGCCAUAGUAGGUGUUGUUGCAUAUAACAAUCAUAAGCUUAAACCCCAAGUGAACCAGCAGCAGGGUGCUGACAGCAAAGUCAGCCCAGGAAGCCCUCGACAUGUCGAGAUACCAUUGAACUCUACAAAAGAAUCUUCAUAA